This 21-nucleotide microRNA is filed under the name Homo sapiens (human). Its description in RNAcentral is "hsa-miR-5096". The record is from RNAcentral. Lineage: Eukaryota; Metazoa; Chordata; Mammalia; Primates; Hominidae.
GUUUCACCAUGUUGGUCAGGC